Molecule: ribosomal RNA, 497 nt
Filed under: Priestia megaterium
Lineage: Bacteria; Bacillati; Bacillota; Bacilli; Caryophanales; Bacillaceae
Description: bacterial SSU rRNA
Rfam family: Bacterial small subunit ribosomal RNA
Source: RNAcentral
GGGGGUGCUAAUAAUGCAAUCGAGCGAACUGAUUAGAAGCUUGCUUCUAUGACGUUAGCGGCGGACGGGUGAGUAACACGUGGGCAACCUGCCUGUAAGACUGGGAUAACUUCGGGAAACCGAAGCUAAUACCGGAUAGGAUCUUCUCCUUCAUGGGAGAUGAUUGAAAGAUGGUUUCGGCUAUCACUUACAGAUGGGCCCGCGGUGCAUUAGCUAGUUGGUGAGGUAACGGCUCACCAAGGCAACGAUGCAUAGCCGACCUGAGAGGGUGAUCGGCCACACUGGGACUGAGACACGGCCCAGACUCCUACGGGAGGCAGCAGUAGGGAAUCUUCCGCAAUGGACGAAAGUCUGACGGAGCAACGCCGCGUGAGUGAUGAAGGCUUUCGGGUCGUUAAACUCUGUUGUUAGGGAAGAACANGUACAAGAGUAACUGCUUGUACCUUGACGGUACCUAACCAAAAAGGCCACGGCUUACUUCGUUGCCAACAAGCCGC